UUUAUUGGAGAGUUUGAUCCUGGCUCAGGAUGAACGCUGGCGGCGUGCCUAAUACAUGCAAGUCGAGCGAAUGGAUUAAGAGCUUGCUCUUAUGAAGUUAGCGGCGGACGGGUGAGUAACACGUGGGUAACCUACCCAUAAGACUGGGAUAACUCCGGGAAACCGGGGCUAAUACCGGAUAAUAUUUUGAACUGCAUAGUUCGAAAUUGAAAGGCGGCUUCGGCUGUCACUUAUGGAUGGACCCGCGUCGCAUUAGCUAGUUGGUGAGGUAACGGCUCACCAAGGCGACGAUGCGUAGCCGACCUGAGAGGGUGAUCGGCCACACUGGGACUGAGACACGGCCCAGACUCCUACGGGAGGCAGCAGUAGGGAAUCUUCCGCAAUGGACGAAAGUCUGACGGAGCAACGCCGCGUGAGUGAUGAAGGCUUUCGGGUCGUAAAACUCUGUUGUUAGGGAAGAACAAGUGCUAGUUGAAUAAGCUGGCACCUUGACGGUACCUAACCAGAAAGCCACGGCUAACUACGUGCCAGCAGCCGCGGUAA
Molecule: ribosomal RNA, 543 nt
Filed under: Cronobacter sakazakii
Lineage: Bacteria; Pseudomonadati; Pseudomonadota; Gammaproteobacteria; Enterobacterales; Enterobacteriaceae
Description: bacterial SSU rRNA
Rfam family: Bacterial small subunit ribosomal RNA
Source: RNAcentral